CCGCCGCGGGAGGAGGAGUGAGCCAACAUGGAGGACCAGGAGAAGAUCACGUAGUGUGUUGGUGGCCAUCUUACCCACUUUUCCUAAUGUUGGACUCCGAGAAGUUACCGAUACACUUACUAGGUGGAUGUAGAAGGUGUAUGCGAAAGCUUCAAACCAAUUUGAAGCUUUCGAUGCCGUUUUAAUGGCACUAUGAACCUAGACUCGCUAACUGCUGCUUUGUCUCAUAUUGGUAAUCUGGUCGCCAGUUUGACAAAGAAAAACCUGAACUCUAGUGUCCAAGAGAUUCAGGAAGUGGUGCGUCAGUUUGGUGGAGAGGCAGAGCGACAUUUGUACCGGGUGUUGAUUGGUCACCUGGAGUGGUCUGGGUCUCAGGGAGGAGAAAGCCACCGACCUUCACCAAAUAAUAACAACAAUAACAAUAAGGACAAGGAGGCUGUAAAUAGUGCAGGUGUAGCCUCCCUCGCCUGGUCGUCCACCAACGGGGGGGCAAGUGCCCUCCUACUUCAGCAUCUGGGGGCCACUCUUCCUUCUGCUUCUUUUAUUGCCAGUCUUGCAUUUGCCAUAGCAAACCCACUCAACACUAGCAAGGUCAAGCCACAGUGGGUAAGUGGGGUGUGCAGGGCUUUGAGGCUCUCCCGCCUUCAGGAAGUCACCCUCUGUUUGUACCUGCUUCAAGAAACUAAUCAGGAAGUACGAAGUCAGUCCAUUGCCAUCCUCAAGCUUAAGCUUCCAGAUCUUGUCCGUGCUUACAUAGAUACAGAAACUGAGGACCGGGAAUUACUAGAGCUAUCAACGGAAGCUUUACAUCUAUUGUUGACACACAUUGUGCAUCUGUGGAGGGAUCCCCCAGUUGUCCUUUUACCCCAGGAGUCUUUGCAAGCCUUCAUCUCUGCUCUACAGCGAGAGUUUCCUCAGUCACGAGUACCUGUGGUUUUGGCCCCGCUGCUCUACCCUGAUUCGGAUAUUCUGAUGGAAAAGAUGACUCAGGAACAGCCAUCCAACAUGGCCAAGAAUCUACUGGACGGGUCCUUGGCAGACCUGGUGUUGGAGCUUGGCUACAGCUUCUGCAACACUGUGGAAGAAUGUCGAAACAAUUUGGUCAAUUUUGGGGUGAACUCCAUCACUCCAGCCGCUGUUGCCAAAGUGUUGGGUAUUAUGGUUCGGACUCACACUGGCCUGCCCUCAGAACAGAUUGGACUUCAGAACCUCAACACACCUAGUUCCCUGUGGAGUGACAGUAAGGACAAGGCUGCCAACAAUCAGUCACAAUCCGGUGGUAAUGAAGUGGGUGUGCCGGGCUCCAGCAGCCUCUCAGGGCCCCAUGGCUGGAACGUGGAGGUGUUCAUCAAGGCCCUGCUGGAAGUCCUGUCCAACCUGAACGUUAAGGAAAUCUUCACCAAGCUGGAUCACAAAGGAUUCUUUGUCAAGGAUAGACAAGGCUUGAAGCUUCUCAUUACUGCUUUAAGGUGUCUCCUGCAAGGCCAGGGGAUACGACCUGACUUGUUCCUAGUAGAAUGCUUCUACCGCCAGUGGAAGAACACAGAGGAGCAGCUGAGCCUUAUCACACAAAUACUCAAGAAUACUGACAUAUUCUGUCUCACGGAUUACCACUGCCACAUGGUGUCAACUGAUAGCCUUAAGACUAUGCCUGAAUUGGAUAACAAAGAGAUUGCAACCUGGAAAUCUGUGCAGUUGCUAGAAACUCUACUAUAUCUGGGCGAGGCCGGCCACUACACAGCCAUCAAGGAGCUUUUCAAGUUUCCCAUCCAGCACUGUCCAGACAUCUUGGUGUUGGGCUUGGUGCAGGUCAACUUCCCUGUCACAAUGUUGCGACAGGACCUCAUCGCUUCACUCAUCCCCAUAUUCCUUGGCAAUCAUCCCAAUGCUGCUAUCAUUCUCCACCAUGCCUGGCACACACAGAAUAACACCAACACUGUGCGCCAAAUCAUCAUGCACGCCAUGUCUGAGUGGUACAUGAUGGUGGAAAACGACCAGACAAGGUUGAGCCGCAUUCUUGAUGUGGCACAAGACCUCAAAGCCUUGUCUCUGCUUCUCAACGCCCAGUCUUUCCCUUUUGUGGUUGACUUGGCUUGCUUGGCAUACCGACGGGAGUUCCUCAAGUUGGAUAAAUGGCUGACAGACAAAAUACGGGAACACGGUGAACCCUUCAUAUCAGCCUGCAUCAAAUUUCUUCAACGACGAUGUCCCCAGCUUGUAGGAGGGAAGGAGGACAUGUUGCCAAAGUCUGCCCAGCUACCUCCAGAGACCAUGGCCACCAUCCUUGUCUGCCUCAAUGCUUGUCACAUGAAUGUGUCACAGGACCUGUCGGACACAAUAAUCCAGAUGUUCCAGAACUGCAACUUAAUGAACAGACCCAGAGCCCAGCCUGGAGUGAUUGGCUUCCCUGGUCCUGGUCCAACUCCAUCAACCGAGGGACCAAUAGGAAAUGUGGCCUCAACCUUUGGCAACUUGACCAUUGGUGGAGCCGGAGUGUCAUCUUCUAUCUUCCCCACCCCGGUCUCCUCCUCCAUCAGCUUCGGGGGCCAAGUGUCAAUCGGCACGGCUCCCGGUUCCCCAGGUCGCCCCUUAGGACCCUCCAAUGCCCCCGGAACAUCACAGUCUCCCUUGCCCACCCUAUUGCCGAAUUUGCAGCUUGGACCUGCCCUUCCUGUGGCACCAAUGGGCUCUCAGCUGUCCGCACAACCUGUCUCAUCAACAUUACCCUCUUCACUGCGGUCUCAUUCUGUCCAGCCCACCGUUGCUCCCACCAGACAGAUGGACAUGUCACAGAUAUUUGACAUGCCUCAGUCAGUAAGCAAGGAGGUCGAGGAUGAGGCCAACAGCUAUUUCCAACGAAUCUACAACCAUCCUCCACAUCCCACCCUCUCUAUUGAAGAGGUCUUAGAUAUGCUGAAAAAAUUCCAUGAGUCAUCCAAUAAGAGGGAGCGAGAAGUCUACUCCUGCAUGCUGAGGAAUCUCUUUGAAGAAUACCGCUUUUUCCCGACCUACCCAGACAAGGAACUCUUCACAACAGCGAGGCUCUUUGGUGGAAUCAUUGAGCAGGGCCUUGUUGAGUACAUGGCUCUUGGAGUGGCAUUGAGGUAUGUGAUGGAGGCUCUCCAGAAGCCACAUGGCAGCAAGAUGUACUACUUUGGUAUUGUGGCCUUAGACAGGUUUCGGAGCAGACUGAAGGAGUAUCCGAGGUACUGCCAGCACUUGAUGGCCAUUCAGCACUUCAACGAGUUUCAGCCACACUUGAUUGAGUACAUCAAGUAUGGAACACAGUCACAAGAACCUCCCACCCGACCAUCUGGAGUGGUUUUGCCUCCUUCAAUUAAUGUUUCCCCGAGUUCCGCUGUGCCGGGAACUUCGGCUUCUCUCGUAGUUGCCACAGCCCCUGUUGGAGUUCCUCAGCCCUCGGGAGUGCCUCCUGUUGUUUCAUCUGUAGGGAAAAGUUUGCCCCCGGCCACCACCACUACCACCACCAUGGCACCGGCCAUCACCAAGCCUCCCUCACUGGCAGCUACCAAUAAUGCUGUUGGCUCUGGAAAGCCAACAAUAACAACAACCAACAUAGAGACACUUCUAGUAGCCACUGAAAAAGAGGAGAAAAUUACUCCUCCUCCAGAGCAUAUUCAAGACAAAGUGGCUUUCAUUUUCAACAACCUCGCUCAAGUUAAUUUGCCCCAGAAGUGUGAGGAGCUCCGUGAAGUGGUGGGAGACGACUACUGGCUCUGGGUAGCUCAGUACCUGGUCAUGAAGAGAGCUUCCAUCGAGAACAACUUCCACACCCUGUAUUCUCUGUUUCUGGACCAACUCAAGAUGAGCUCCUUCAACUCAAUGGUUUGCCGGGAGACACUCAGAAACAUCAAGGUACUUCUAAGGGCUGAUAAGUCUGCAGCUAAUUUCUCUGACAAGUCUUUGUUGAAGAAUCUUGGACACUGGCUGGGAAUGCUCACCCUGGCCAAAAACAAGCCAAUACUCCACACAGAUAUCGACAUGAAAUCCCUGCUUAUUGAAUCCUAUAACAAAGGAUUACAGGAGAUGCAGUAUGUGAUUCCCUUCGUGGCCAAGGUGAUGGAGUCUUGUGCCAAAAGUCGUGUGUUCAAGGCCCCCAAUCCCUGGACCAUGGCCAUCAUGAAUGUUUUGGCUGAACUCCAUAAAGAACCGGAAAUGAAACUGCAUCUCAAAUUUGAGAUUGAGGUGCUCUGCAACAAGCUUGAAAUUAAUCUUGAUGAUCUGAAACCCGCCAAUGUACUGAAUGACCGGGAGCGCAUCGCCCGGCUCAAGCCUCAGCUCUCACAGCCAGGAGGGUCCAAGAGAGCAGAAUCCACUCCGCUCUUCCCUCCUAUGCAAGCCUUCUCACUGUCUUCUUUCAUACCAAAGACAAGUUGGUCUCAAGUGGCCCCUCCAGGUGUAGUUGUGGACUCCAGCACCGUUCCUGUCCAAAGCUCUCCUGUCGGUGCCACGCCCACCCCACCCACCGUGCUACCCUCCCACCCCUCCACCACCCCGACCCCCAUCCAGCCUCAACAGCCGCCUGCCUCAGAGGCACGCUUUAUAUAUUCAGACAUUAGCGUUGCCUCCCUCAGGGGCUUGGAGCCUCACAUAAAUGUCUCUGUACCUCAGUUUCCGCUCCAGGUUUGUGGUGUGACGACCAAUGUACAACUGAAGCAGCUGGUUCGUCACGCUGUUGAGUUGGCCGUCCAGGAGAUCGUCGCAGCAGUCAUUGAGCGCAGCAUCAAGAUAGCCAUCACCACUGCUGAGCACAUAAUUAAGAAAGACUUUGCCCUUGACCCCGAUGAGUCCAGGAUGCGGGCUGCCACACACCACAUGGUCCGCAACCUGACGGCAGCUAUGGCCAUGAUCACCUGCCGAGACUACCUGGCCACCAACAUCACCAAGAGCAUCAAGCAAGGACUGAUGCAGGCAUUCUCCCGGACCAAUCCUCAGCAGCUACCCCAGCCUGUGGAACAGAUGGAGCAGCUUGCCGCAGCUAUUGCUCAGGAGAAUGUGGGCAUUGCUUGUGCCUUCAUCCAGAAAAAUGCUGCUGAGAAAGCUGUGAAUGAGAUGGACAAGAGAUUGUCACAAGAGUAUGAGGCUCGUAAAGUGGCUCGCACCGAGGGACGGCGCUACUGUGACCCAAUGAUCCUCACCUACCAGGCUGAACGCAUGCCUGAGCAGAUCCGCCUGAAAGUGGGCGGCAUCACUCCCCCACAGAUGGCAGUGUACGAGGAAUUUGCCCGUAACAUCCCAGGCUUCCUCCCCAUCACCGAUCAAGACACAAUGUUCCUUCCCAAGCCAGUGCCUGUUGGCGCGCAGCAGCAACAGCAGCAGCAACAGCAGCAGCAACAACAGCAGCAGCAGCAGCAACAACAGCAGCAGCAGCAGCAGCAGCAACAACAACAGCAACAACAGCAGCAGCAACAACAGCAGCAGCAACAACAACAGCAGCAGCAGCAGCAACAACAACAGCAGCAGCAACAACAACAGCAACAAGGGCCUCACACACAGCAGCAGGCCUUUGGAAAUGAGGAAGCAACAGCUUUCCUUGUUCUAACUGAAAGGAUCAGUGCAGAGCUGGAGCACACCAUCCAGACCUUCAACACACUGGCCCCAAGCUCUCCGCUGCUGCCCAUGCUUCAUGCGCUGCGGGAGGGGCUGCUCCUCACACGGACCAACAGGGACGUCCACGCUGCCCAAGUCCUGCUCAGAAAGUGUGUGGACAAUCUGAUCGAGGGAGCGCGAGAGCUGCCCAGCGAACCAGAACUCAGCCAACUGGCACUGCGCUUCAGAGACUGCCACCUCAUUGUUCUCAAGGCCAUGGCUGACCACCGCUGCUACGGUGUGGUCUGGACCUCCAAGAAUAUUACAAAGUGCUGGACAGAGGCUCGGGAUGACGUGAAGUACAACCUGGACGUGGUGGACUGGCUCAUCCGCUCCAACCUGCUCAACCUGCAGAUGCUGGAUGAACACCUUGCUCGCACCCUGGACGAUCCCCGCGUCCACUCCUUCUUCCUUCCUUCCAUCUUUGUGAUGCAGCUAGUUCAGAUGUAUCUUAUAGAUGACCCUAGUAGCAGUGUCCUAAGUGAGACAGAUUUACAACUAACACUCGAGGCUUUGGUACGCCUGUGUCACUCCAGGCAGGGUCCUGAAGGCCUCAUUGCCCUCAUUGAAGCUCUACGCAUGAAGCACGACUUGCUGAGUGGAGAGCGCAUAGCUGGGAGCAACAGUCUGAGCAGCCUGAACAACCCUAUCUCUGCCGGGCCAAGUCUUCACUUCCACUCUGGAGUGACACAAGCCAGAGACUUCCAGGACCCACCAGCACUGCAGGAGAAGACGGAGGUGCUGCUGCGGGAGUGGAUCACCAUGUACCACUCUCCCUCGGCUGGCCAAGGAUCUGCAUCAGCCUUCCAGCAUUUUGUCAAGCAGAUGAAUCUUCAUGGAAUUCUGAAGACAGAUGAUCUCAUUACUAGAUUUUUUAGGAUAUGCAUCAGUAUGUGUCGCGACCUCUGUGUACGUUCCAUCCUGGAGCAGGGGCAGGGCCCCUCGCCCACCUAUGUACGCAGCAAGUGCUUCCAGAACCUCGAUGCAUUUGUGCGGCUCAUUGCCUUAUUAGUCAAGCACUCGGGAGAAGCCACCAACCCCACGACAAAGAUAAACUUACUUAACAAGGUGUUGGGCCUUGUCUGUGGGAUCAUGAUUCAUGACAUAGAAUCCAACACAACAGACUUUCAGCAGCUGCCAUAUCAUCGCAUUCUCAUUAUGCUCUUCCUUGAACUGAACGCCCCGGAGGCAAUCCUUGAGUCAAUCAAUCUUCCGGUAUGUGAAAGGCAUGAUGUGUGCUCCUGGCAGGUGCUGAUGGCUUUCACCCAGACCCUGCACCUGCUGCGGCCCAGCAAGUGUCCUGGGUUUGCCUACGCUUGGCUGGAAAUUGUCAGCCAUAGGGUGUUUAUAGGUCGCAUGUUGGCCAUCACUCCACAACAAAAGGGAUGGUCAAUGUACUCAAUGCUGUUAGCAGAUCUGUUCAAGUUUUUGGCUCCUUUCCUAAGGAAUGCAGAGCUGGCAAAACCCCUCACCAUGUUAUACAAGGGAACUUUGCGUGUGCUGUUGGUGCUGUUGCACGACUUCCCAGAGUUCUUGUGUGAGUACCACUACGGUUUCUGUGAUGUCAUCCCUCCAAACUGCAUUCAGAUGCGGAACCUCAUCCUCUCUGCCUUCCCUCGAAACAUGCGCCUUCCAGAUCCCUUCACACCAAACCUCAAAGUUGACAUGUUACCAGAGAUUACAGUAUCACCCAAAAUCCACACCACCGUGGCUAAUCUCAUCCAGCCCCCGGACUUUAAGAAGAACUUGGAUUCCUACUUGAAGAACAGGACACCAGUCACAUUUCUCUCUGACAUGAGAACAUACUUGCAGCAGGUCUCCAGCGAGCCUGGGAUGCGCUACAACAUGUCGGUGAUGAACUCCUUGGUGUUGUACGUUGGCAUGCAAGCCAUCGCUCAGAUCCACAGCAAGGGCCUCACUCCUUCUAUGUCCACCAUUGCACACUCUGCCCACAUGGACAUCUUUCAGAACCUUGGAGUGGACUUGGAUACAGAAGGCCGCUACCUGUUCCUUAACGCAAUCGCCAAUCAGCUGCGCUACCCCAACAGUCACACCCACUACUUCAGUUGCACACUCCUUCACCUCUUCGCCGAGGCCAACACUGAGGCCAUCCAGGAGCAGAUCACGCGAGUCUUGCUGGAGCGGCUGAUAGUGAACCGUCCUCACCCCUGGGGACUGCUCAUCACUUUCAUUGAGCUCAUCAAGAAUCCAUCGUUCAAGUUCUGGAGCCACGAGUUUGUGAAGUGUGCUCCAGAGAUUGAAAAUGCAGUGAAUGGGAGUUACUUGCAAGGGAGGUGCUCCACACACACAAGGCAGUAGAGGAUAGGAGGGAAGAGAGGCGAAGAGACGGAAGGAGGAGGAAAGAAGUGGAGGGAGGGAGAUGGAGGCAUGAGGCAGGUUGUUUGAAUCUGUGGCUCGGUCCUGCAUGGUCCAGAAAGUGUCUGCUCCCAGGGAGGGCGAGGCCUGACCACAGGUCCUGCACACAUACUGCUCCUCGCAGGACACCUGACCACACGCAUCUCACCCUGUGCAGGCAGCAGUAGAAGCUUUGUAUUUUAGAAUGCAAGACUUAAGGUUAUAUGGUAUAGGACUGUGUUGAUAUGGGCUGUUGUUGCUCCAUGUGGGAGCCGGGAAAGUCAUUGUGACUUGCGGUGCUUGGCUAAAAGCUAUGUUAUAUAGAUGAUAAUGUGUGAUGACGUGAAUUUCUAAUAUAUACGUAUACAUACAUAUAUAUAUAUGUAAAUAUGUAUCAAUUCCUCGCUGAUAAUGGCUGUAAGACUUAGUUCUUUGAGGAAGCAAGGGCCAGGUGCAGAUCAAGACAGUUAGGUAUAUAUCAUGGGGAGUGUCAAAGAGAAGCUUAGGUGGUAGGACUUCAUGACGAAUAAGUGACCCAGGUGAUGCUUAACAAUAACAAUGUUACACACUUAGAGAAUUUCCAGUUAUUUUUUUGAAGAAGGCAAUAUGUUGCUACAAAACUUAUUUAUGACAAAACAGAGUUGUCAUUACAUCAAUAACAUUUAUGCUUUAUUUAGUGAUUGCAGUAUUUGAAGUUGCACAAGUGCUGCUGAGGUGUAUGAUAAUCUUAAGACAAUUAUUUGAGGGUAAAAUGGAAAUGAGUUAUGUUGGUAACUGUUAAACUACUUGUAUCAAUAGAAGACCAAUAACUGUAACCUACACUAGUAAGGACCUUCAGAGUGAAGUAAAAGUGCAUCUUAAAGGUUGUAAGUUUGCCGAGGAGUCUGUAAUGACCGAUAUGAGUAAGACAAAGUAGCCAUAAACAGUGUGCCAGAGUGCAAAGAGAAAAGAUAGUAAUUCCAUUGAGUGAUAUGUACCUAUUUCCAUGUGAUCUUAACUUCCAGGGAAUUAUGUGAUGAGAUAUACCUAAGAUAUUUAGAUAUUAUGUGAUGUAGAUUUCUAUAUGAUGAUGAUGGCCUUUGCCAGGAGCUUCUGCAGUAAGGAAGUGAGAAUCAAAGGAUCUUAGUUAUUCACAAAGUGUUUGGUGUGUUUCUCCUUCAGCCUCCAAGGAUACAGGUGUGUGGCAAGGACUGCUGAGUGCCACCAGCAACUGAUGUUACCAAAGAGUUGAACAUGCCUUCAGCUUGACUGGUUCUCAGAGGCAUGGCAUCAUCCAUCUCUUGUGAUAGCACUUCAUACCAUAUGCAAAAGUAAUCAUGGGCGCAAAGCAUGUACAAACUCCCACCCUCCUUCUUACUUAGGUUCAUAAUAUUCUUGAAAGGCUGUCUAGUAGUUAAUGUAAGUAGUAUUAUCAUGUAGAAAAUAAGGUGCCCUUAUAUCCUGAGGCUUUUCAUCCUGCUGUAAAGUGUCUUCUCGGAGGGUGUCGGUGGUCACGGAGGUGAAGGAGUGGGGCCGGGAGGACAGCGCUGCCAUGGCCGCUUGCACUUGUGUUCUCUCAAGGGCAGUGCGGAGCCCAGUCUCGGUAACUGCAUCCUGAAGAUGGUGUAUUGAAGCACAAAUUGUGUGUUAAAUGUAAGAGCUCCACUUCCAGGUCAGGAAAUGGUGUAUUAAUUGGGCAGAAGCUUUGUGUUAGUCUCAAGGCUGGCAGGGAAAUGUGUGUGUCUCACAGCAGCAGCAGUCCCCCCACACCUGGCAGCAACACUCCUCUUCACUUACCUCGCUUGGAGGACUGCCUCAGCUCUCUCACGGCCAAGAAAUACAAAUCUAGUAUUGUUAACAAAAAUCAAUCAUCAGUUUGUAUGAAAUUGUAUAGUAGAGUUGUUGAGGGACUUGAGAGGAGGUAUUAGCUGGACCUCCUGUGAAUGUACAGUUCAAGUUUAUUUUUGUUGAUAAAAACUUCGUCGUCUCAAGAUGUGCAGUUGAACAGUUUGUGUCAUAUUCUUUAGUCCACUGUAGGUUAAGGAUGUGAAUAAAGGUCUUCUUGUAGCAAAGCACA
Molecule: RNA transcript, 10021 nt
Organism: Eriocheir sinensis (Chinese mitten crab)
Lineage: Eukaryota; Metazoa; Arthropoda; Malacostraca; Decapoda; Varunidae
Gene: Not1
Gene name: CCR4-NOT transcription complex subunit 1-like
Exons: 39
Source: RefSeq, a predicted model, not a curated record